RNAcentral lists this transfer RNA (73 nucleotides) under Mus musculus (house mouse). Its description in RNAcentral is "tRNA-Ser". Lineage: Eukaryota; Metazoa; Chordata; Mammalia; Rodentia; Muridae. The record is from RNAcentral.
GGAGAGAUGGCUCAGUGGUUUACAGCACUGAUUGCUCUUCCAGAGGUCCUGAGUUCAAUUCCCAGCAACCACA